RNAcentral lists this long non-coding RNA (486 nucleotides) under Homo sapiens (human). RNAcentral describes it as "HSALNT0357069". Lineage: Eukaryota; Metazoa; Chordata; Mammalia; Primates; Hominidae. The record is from RNAcentral.
CUGAAUAGCUGAGAGGCGCACCCGGGCGGCCAGCUGGGCUCGGAGUGCAGCGGGGUUAGGAUGGACGAGGACGUGUUGCACCCUGAAGAGCCUCAUCAUCGCCUGCUCUUGAGGUUCACAGAUGAUACCUUUGAUCCAGAACUUGCAGCAACAAUAGGCCUUUUGCUUUCUUCAGGUUCACCUGCUUCCAGGCGGGCAGGGCGUUGUAUUCAUCCCUCGUCAUGUCUAGUGCAAACUGGAAACAUUGGGAGAAGCGCCCCGCGGCUCAGUGAAAGGAGCCGGGCGUGCGUGUGUUGUUUUACUCCCAUCCCCACCCCACCGGAAGAACCGCUUACCUCGAAGUCUUCGUCGGUGAGAUAGAUCUCAAGCUUCAGAGGAUCGACCCCCUCCGGGAGUGGCCUGGCCAGGAGGUCGGCCAGCGGGUAAAUGGUUUUACAGAGCUUGGCUAAGACGUCUUCCACGAGGGUGAUCUGAUUGGAAACUUCC